This 441-nucleotide ribosomal RNA is filed under the name uncultured bacterium. RNAcentral describes it as "partial 16S ribosomal RNA". It matches the Rfam family "Bacterial small subunit ribosomal RNA", at positions 338 to 795 of the family's 1533-position model. The record is from RNAcentral.
CCUACGGGUGGCUGCAGUGGGGAAUAUUGGGCAAUGGAGGAAACUCUGACCCAGCAACGCCGCGUGAAGGAUGAAGGUUUUCGGAUUGUAAACUUCUGUCGCGAGGGAUGAAGAAUGACGGUACCUCGUAAGAAAGCCCCGGCAAACUACGUGCCAGCAGCCGCGGUAAUACGGAGGGGGCGAGCGUUGUCCGGAAUGACUGGGCGUAAAGGGAGUGUAGGCGGCAUAUUAAGGUAUGUGUGAAAGCCCGCGGCUCAACCGCGGAAUUGCACAUAAAACUGGUAAGCUGGAGUGCAGGAGAGGUAAGCGGAAUUCCUGGUGUAGCGGUGAAAUGCGUAGAUAUCAGGAGGAACACCGGCGGCGAAGGCGGCUUACUGGACUGUAACUGACGUUGAGGCUCGAAGGCGUGGGGAGCAAACAGGAUUAGAUACCCGGGUAGUC